RNAcentral lists this ribosomal RNA (397 nucleotides) under uncultured bacterium. RNAcentral's name for it is "partial 16S ribosomal RNA". It matches the Rfam family "Bacterial small subunit ribosomal RNA", at positions 523 to 918 of the family's 1533-position model. The record is from RNAcentral.
CUACGUAGGGGGCGAGCGUUGUCCGGAAUGAUUGGGCGUAAAGGGCGCGUAGGCGGCCCGGUAAGUCUGGAGUGAAAGUCCUGUUUUUAAGAUGGGAAUUGCUUUGGAUACUGAUGGGCUUGAGUGCAGGAGAGGUUAUCGGAAUUCCCGGUGUAGCGGUGAAAUGCGUAGAGAUUGGGAGGAACACCAGUGGCGAAGGCGACUUACUGGACUGUAACUGACGCUGAGGCGCGAAAGUGUGGGGAGCAGACAGGAUUAGAUACCCUGGUAGUCCACACUGUAAACGAUGAAUGCUAGGUGUAGGGGGUAUCGACCCCUUCUGUGCCGCAGUCAACACAAUAAGCAUUCCGCCUGGGGAGUACGGCCGCAAGGUUGAAACUCAAAUGAAUUGACGGGG